AUGUAGAUAUAUUAAUUAUAUAUUAUUUGCAGUAUUUGAGGGUGAUGCAUGAUGUUUACUAAAAGAUGGCAUACUAGAAGUCAAAAGGUUUCAAAGAAAUGAAAAUCAACAACAAAAAGUGCAAGACGUUUUUGAAUUCUGAUUUAUCACAAAAUGAAUAUUUACAUCAUGGGUUCUGAAAAAGAAGGAAAAUGCAUUUCGAUACUUUGUUGGGGCCCCACAAGAAUGCAACUGUUGUUUCUUUGAUGACGAUUGGAAACAGUUGAAGACUGCAGACACAAGAGAAACAUUUUCCUUUUGGAUUUAACCCAUUGAAUUAUUGAAAUUCUGAAUGGAAGCCACAAAAACAUGAACAUAAACAAUACAUUUUAUAAAGAUAUAGCUUGGAACGUGAUAUGCAUGUUAUCUGACAUACAUGUGUAGUGCAUUUUGAUCUUAACGAUUGCCUGUUCUGUUUAAAUAUUUAGAUUAUUUCAGCAGCUGUGUUUCUUUUUUAAAUUUUGAUGGAAAGUAAAUGUAAAUGUUUCUAAAGUUUUAUUUUAAAACGUUAUUCAGUGCGUAUAGAUAAAGUGCUAUUUGUUUUGUUAAUGGAAUAUUGAUACAAUUAUUACUUCUCCUAUCGAUGAUUUUAUAUUUGUUUGUUUUGAAGAUUAUCGUUAAAUUUAUUUGUAAAUAUAUUUCUCUUCAAUCAACAUAAUAAAUUAUUCAAAACGCA
Molecule: long non-coding RNA, 715 nt
Organism: Ruditapes philippinarum (Manila clam)
Lineage: Eukaryota; Metazoa; Mollusca; Bivalvia; Venerida; Veneridae
Exons: 2
Source: RefSeq, a predicted model, not a curated record